Molecule: long non-coding RNA, 1547 nt
Organism: Panthera uncia (snow leopard)
Lineage: Eukaryota; Metazoa; Chordata; Mammalia; Carnivora; Felidae
Exons: 3
Source: RefSeq, a predicted model, not a curated record
ACCAGCUCUUGUGCUUCUUGUAAUAACUCAUGAGUCACUUGUCAGCUUUUGUUUUCCUGACAAGGAGCCUUUCUUCUGCUGUAAAACAAAGAAUGCUUACCAUUGGCUUUUAAAAGCACACGUGUCCCAUUUGCAACAGAUAUUAUCUAAAUGGUUAAGCAAAAGUGGAGAAAAACGUGGUGCGUGGUUUCCUCCGCUGUUUCAGUAGCCUGAACUUCCUGACGCUUCUUCCAGACAGUCAAUGAUGCUCACACUGAUGAAGGAGGCCCGGCGAGGGCUCAGAAGGACAACAGGAUGCCGUUACCUUGUCUCCCAGGCGCCAAUCCAUCAUGUCCACAAACUGGAAGACAAGAGCAACGACGGAAAUGUACGCCUGCAGCUUCUCUGGUGACGGCUGGACUAUGCAGAAUAGAAGGACCAGGGGGUGGCCACCUUGCUUCAAAAGCUUCACUUUGAUGCCUCCUCUUGAGCUUGCUCUUGGAUUCCCAUGACAGAACUCUCACCUGCCACUGCCUCCCUCUGACCCAUCACAACUAAGAAUGCUCAGACCGCGGGAUCACAGUAUGUGGAAUUUAUCUUUGCCCCAGCACACAUCCUGGUUUUGACAUUUAGUAGCUAUUUGAUAAAUGUUCAAAUCGCAAAUAAAUAAGUGUGGGAAUAAUAACUAGGGCUGUGGGCACAUUUUAAUGGUGAGCUCCUUAGCAAACAUGAGACGGAACAGAGUGGCCUGCUAUCGUUAUUUUUCUCUAAUGAAUCCUUAUGACCAAAUAUUUUUCUGAUCAUAAAGGAAGCCAAGAGUUAAAAGAUGAGGGAGGGGAAAAACAAGGAAUUGACAAGACAUUGGUUAGAAAUAAUGCUUCUGGGUUCCCCUGGGGGUAGAAGACAUCAGUGGAUUUACAAAUUAAUUUUUCCCCCAGUUACAAGCCUACAUUCCUUUUGGGAGGCAGGCAAGGAAAUAUAUAAAACAACUUUUCCUUGAAUCCUUGUUAGACAGAAGACAUUACUCAUACAAAGAAGGCAAGCACGAAACUGCCAGUUCAAGGAAUAACAAGGGCAGCAAAAGUUUUAGUUUCAUGGAGUUAAUUUAAAAACUGGCCAAAGAUAUGGUAAAAAUAAGCAAGAUGGAAAGUAAAACAGAAAGAAAAGAAGCAGAGAAAAAGAAGUGGGAGGGAAGAACAGCAAACUCCAUUCAUUUCAUGAAUGUUUCUUGAACACCUAUUAUAUUCCAGACCCUGCGACAGGCGCUGGGGGUGUAUCAGGAGCUUAUAUGCUAGUGUUGGGGGAAGAUACUUAAAUUUUAGAACUAACUGGAUAAUAUGUCAGGGAGGGAUAAAUUCUACAGAGGACAUGAAGAAAGGUGAGGAUACAGAGCGGGCAGGGUGAGCUAUUUCGUAGGGAGUGGUGAGGGAAGGCCCCUCUGAGCCCAAGAUCCUUGAGCAGACCUGACCAACUGAGGGACUGAGCGUGAGGACAUCUGUGGAAAGAACAGCGCAGGCCUAGGAAUGGCGAGGGCGAACCUUAACAUUUUAACAAAGUAACGCAUAAAA